UGUACGGGCAUAAUAAUGAUUGUAUGGCUAAUCUAGUGGAUUGGAAGGUUCACAAGAGGAAGAAUUUGUGUUGGAGGAACCAAACAUUUGCAACCAAAAGACUUGACUUAUAGGGUGAAAGUGUUGUAGUGUCUCAAUGAUCUGAAGGUUUUAGGCUGAAAGUUGAGAGAACUGACUUGUAGAUUCAGGUGUUGUAAUUGAGGGUUGCAUUAGACCCGGUUAGUCCUACGAAUCCGACCUGACCCAUAAGCAACGGGUUGGGUCUGACCCGGUCCAAAAUAAAACAAGAACAAAAAAAAAAAGACAAGACAGAGACAAGAUAAAAGAAGUACCAGGUGCGGGUUACCCAUCGCGUCCCAAUUGCACUAACUUUACUUAGGGUUUGAAAAAAUUAGGGUUAAUUUUUUUUUUCUCUUCCCUGCAUCAUUUCUUCUCCUGCAACUACGUAUUCACUUAUGAACGUUGUAGAACCUUAGAAUUCGAAGAAGGUGAGCAUGUUUUCCUACGUGUUACACCCACUACUAUGAUUGGUAGAGUCGUCAACUCAAAAAAGC
Molecule: long non-coding RNA, 554 nt
Filed under: Cicer arietinum (chickpea)
Lineage: Eukaryota; Viridiplantae; Streptophyta; Magnoliopsida; Fabales; Fabaceae
Description: long non-coding RNA (CARI_LNC000789)
Source: RNAcentral